Molecule: transfer RNA, 71 nt
Filed under: Pseudomonas syringae pv. actinidiae
Lineage: Bacteria; Pseudomonadati; Pseudomonadota; Gammaproteobacteria; Pseudomonadales; Pseudomonadaceae
Description: tRNA-Val
Rfam family: tRNA
About the family: Transfer RNA (tRNA) molecules are approximately 80 nucleotides in length. Their secondary structure includes four short double-helical elements and three loops (D, anti-codon, and T loops). Further hydrogen bonds mediate the characteristic L-shaped molecular structure. tRNAs have two regions of fundamental functional importance: the anti-codon, which is responsible for specific mRNA codon recognition, and the 3' end, to which the tRNAs corresponding amino acid is attached (by aminoacyl-tRNA synthetases). tRNAs cope with the degeneracy of the genetic code in two manners: having more than one tRNA (with a specific anti-codon) for a particular amino acid; and 'wobble' base-pairing, i.e. permitting non-standard base-pairing at the 3rd anti-codon position.
Source: RNAcentral
GGCCGAUUAACUCAAUGGGAGAGUACUCCGCUUACAACGGAGGUACGAAGGUUCAAUUCCUUCAUUGGCCA